RNAcentral lists this transfer RNA (75 nucleotides) under Fomitopsis pinicola. Its description in RNAcentral is "tRNA-Thr". It matches the Rfam family "tRNA". Rfam says of the family: Transfer RNA (tRNA) molecules are approximately 80 nucleotides in length. Their secondary structure includes four short double-helical elements and three loops (D, anti-codon, and T loops). The record is from RNAcentral. Lineage: Eukaryota; Fungi; Basidiomycota; Agaricomycetes; Polyporales; Fomitopsidaceae.
GCCGAAAUAGUUUAAUCUAGGCUAAAACAAAUUCCUUGUAAGAAUUAGUUAUUGGUUCGAGCCCAAUUUUUGGCU